RNAcentral lists this ribosomal RNA (253 nucleotides) under uncultured bacterium. Its description in RNAcentral is "partial 16S ribosomal RNA". It matches the Rfam family "Bacterial small subunit ribosomal RNA", at positions 524 to 776 of the family's 1533-position model. The record is from RNAcentral.
UCCGGAGGGUGCAAUCGUUAAUCGGAUUUAUUGGGCGUAAAGAGCACGUAGGCGGAGUGAAAAGUUAGAUGUGAAAUCCCGGGGCUCAACUUCGGACCCGCAUCUAAAACUGUCAUUCUGGGGGAUGGACGGAGAAAAGGGAAUUCCACGUGUAGCGGUGAAAUGCGUAGAUAUGUGGAAGAACACCGGUGGCGAAGGCGCUUUUCUAGUUUAUUCCUGACGCUGAGGUGCGAAAGCAAGGGGAGAAAACAGG